RNAcentral lists this ribosomal RNA (440 nucleotides) under uncultured bacterium. RNAcentral describes it as "partial 16S ribosomal RNA". It matches the Rfam family "Bacterial small subunit ribosomal RNA", at positions 338 to 795 of the family's 1533-position model. The record is from RNAcentral.
CCUACGUGAUGCAGCAGUGGGGAAUAUUGCACAAUGGGGGAAACCCUGAUGCAGCGACGCCGCGUGAGUGAAGAAGUAUUUCGGUAUGUAAAGCUCUAUCAGCAGGGAAGAAAAUGACGGUACCUGAUUAAGAAGCCCCGGCUAUCUACGUGCCAGCAGCCGCGGUAAUACGUAGGGGGCAAGCGUUAUCCGGAUUUACUGGGUGUAAAGGGAGCGUAGACGGCAGCACAAGUCUGGAGUGAAAUGCCGGGGCUUAACCCCGGAACUGCUUUGGAAACUGUGCAGCUAGAGAGCAGGAGAGGUAAGUGGAAUGCAUAGUGUAGCGGUGAAAUGCGUAGAUAUUAGGAGGAACACCAGUGGCGAAGGCGGCUUACUGGACUGUAACUGACGUUGAGGCUCGAAAGCGUGGGGAGCAAACAGGAUUAGAUACCCUAGUAGUC